GUUGACCUCGGAUCAGGUAGGAAUACCCGCUGAACUUAAGCAUAUCAAUAAGCGGAGGAAAAGAAACCAACAGGGAUUCCCCUAGUAACGGCGAGUGAAGCGGGAACAGCUCAAAUUUGAAAUCUGGCCCUUGGGUCCGAGUUGUAAUUUGCAGAGGAUGCUUUUGGUGCGGUGCCUUCCGAGUUCCCUGGAACGGGACGCCUUAGAGGGUGAGAGCCCCGUACGGUUGGCCACCAAGCCUGUGUAAAGCUCCUUCGACGAGUCGAGUAGUUUGGGAAUGCUGCUCAAAAUGGGAGGUAUAUUUCUUCUAAAGCUAAAUACUGGCCAGAGACCGAUAGCGCACAAGUAGAGUGAUCGAAAGAUGAAAAGCACUUUGAAAAGAGGGUUAAAUAGCACGUGAAAUUGUUGAAAGGGAAGGAUUUAUGACCAGACUUUUUCUGGGGGGAUCAUCCGGUGUUCUCACCGGUGCACUUCCCCCAGUUGAGGCCAGCAUCGGUUUCUGCCGGGGGAUAAAAGCUUCGGGAAUGUGGCUCCUUCGGGAGUGUUAUAGCCCGUUGCAUAAUACCCUGGCGGGGACCGAGGUUCGCGCAUUGCAAGGAUGCUGGCGUAAUGGUUAUUAAUCACCCGUCUUGAAACACGGACCAAGGAGUCGAACAUUUGUGCGAGUGUUUGGGUGUUAAACCCUCACGCGUAAUGAAAGUGAACGGAGGUGAGAGCCUUUCGGGGUGCAUCAUCGACCGAUCCUGAUGUCUUCGGAUGGAUUUGAGUAAGAGCAUAACUGUUCGGACCCGAAAGAUGGUGAACUAUGCGUGGAUAGGGUGAAGCCAGAGGAAACUCUGGUGGAGGCUCGCAGCGGUUCUGACGUGCAAAUCGAUCGUCAAAUCUGCGCAUGGGGGCGAAAGACUAAUCGAACCAUCUAGUAGCUGG
RNAcentral lists this ribosomal RNA (927 nucleotides) under Apiospora kogelbergensis. RNAcentral describes it as "eukaryotic LSU rRNA". It matches the Rfam family "Eukaryotic large subunit ribosomal RNA", at positions 1 to 954 of the family's 3401-position model. Lineage: Eukaryota; Fungi; Ascomycota; Sordariomycetes; Amphisphaeriales; Apiosporaceae. The record is from RNAcentral.